GACGAACGCUGGCGGCGUGCUUAACACAUGCAAGUCGAACGGAAAGGCCCUGCUUUUGUGGGGUGCUCGAGUGGCGAACGGGUGAGUAACACGUGAGUAACCUGCCCUUGACUUUGGGAUAACUUCAGGAAACUGGGGCUAAUCCCGGAUAGGAGCUCCUGCUGCAUGGUGGGGGUUGGAAAGUUUCGGCGGUUGGGGAUGGACUCGCGGCUUAUCAGCUUGUUGGUGGGGUAGUGGCUUACCAAGGCUUUGACGGGUAGCCGGCCUGAGAGGGUGACCGGCCACAUUGGGACUGAGAUACGGCCCAGACUCCUACGGGAGGCAGCAGUGGGGAUAUUGCACAAUGGGCGGAAGCCUGAUGCAGCAACGCCGCGUGCGGGAUGACGGCCUUCGGGUUGUAAACCGCUUUCGCCUGUGACGAAGCGUGAGUGACGGUAAUGGGUAAAGAAGCACCGGCUAACUACGUG
This 467-nucleotide ribosomal RNA is filed under the name uncultured bacterium. RNAcentral describes it as "partial 16S ribosomal RNA". It matches the Rfam family "Bacterial small subunit ribosomal RNA", at positions 28 to 507 of the family's 1533-position model. The record is from RNAcentral.